GUGGGGAAUAUUGGACAAUGGGCGAAAGCCUGAUCCAGCCAUGCCGCGUGUGUGAAGAAGGUCUUCGGAUUGUAAAGCACUUUAAGUUGGGAGGAAGGGCAGUAAGCUAAUACCUUGCUGUUUUGACGUUACCGACAGAAUAAGCACCGGCUAACUCUGUGCCAGCAGCCGCGGUAAUACAGAGGGUGCAAGCGUUAAUCGGAAUUACUGGGCGUAAAGCGCGCGUAGGUGGUUUGUUAAGUUGGAUGUGAAAGCCCCGGGCUCAACCUGGGAACUGCAUCCAAAACUGGCAAGCUAGAGUACGGUAGAGGGUGGUGGAAUUUCCUGUGUAGCGGUGAAAUGCGUAGAUAUAGGAAGGAACACCAGUGGCGAAGGCGACCACCUGGACUGAUACUGACACUGAGGUGCGAAAGCGUGGGGAGCAA
Molecule: ribosomal RNA, 425 nt
Filed under: uncultured Pseudomonas sp.
Lineage: Bacteria; Pseudomonadati; Pseudomonadota; Gammaproteobacteria; Pseudomonadales; Pseudomonadaceae
Description: bacterial SSU rRNA
Rfam family: Bacterial small subunit ribosomal RNA
Source: RNAcentral